GAGUUUGAUCCUGGCUCAGGAUGAACGCUGGCGGCGUGCUUAACACAUGCAAGUCGAACGGAGAUAAGCGCUGAAGAAGCUUCGGUGGAUUCAUGUUUAUCUUAGCGGCGGACGGGUGAGUAACGCGUGGGUAACCUGCCCUGUACAGGGGGAUAACACUUAGAAAUAGGUGCUAAAACCGCAUAAGCGCACAGUACCGCAUGGUACAGUGUGAAAAACUCCGGUGGUACAGGAUGGACCCGCGUCUGAUUAGCUAGUUGGAGGGGUAACGGCCCACCAAGGCGACGAUCAGUAGCCGGCCUGAGAGGGUGAACGGCCACAUUGGGACUGAGACACGGCCCAAACUCCUACGGGAGGCAGCAGUGGGGAAUAUUGCACAAUGGGGGAAACCCUGAUGCAGCGACGCCGCGUGAGUGAAGAAGUAUUUCGGUAUGUAAAGCUCUAUCAGCAGGGAAGAUAAUGACGGUACCUGACUAAGAAGCCCCGGCUAACUACGUGCC
Molecule: ribosomal RNA, 500 nt
Filed under: uncultured bacterium
Lineage: Bacteria
Description: bacterial SSU rRNA
Rfam family: Bacterial small subunit ribosomal RNA
Source: RNAcentral